GACGAACGCUGGCGGCGUGCUUAACACAUGCAAGUCGAACGGAAAGGCCUUUUCGGAGGUACUCGAGUGGCGAACGGGUGAGUAACACGUGGGUGAUCUGCCCUGCACUCUGGGAUAAUCCUGGGAAACUGGGUCUAAUACCGGAUAGGACCGCACUUUAGUGUGUGUGGUGGCAAGUUUUUUCGGUGUAGGAUGGGCCCGCGGCCGAUCAGCUUGUUGGUGGGGUAAUGGGGUACCAAGGCGGCGGCGGGCAGCCGGACUGGGGGGUUGGUCCGCCACAUUGGGACUGGGAUAAGGCCCAGACCCCGACGGGGGGCAGAGGUGGGGAAUAUGGCAAAAUGGGCGCAAGCCUGAGGCAGCGACGCCGCGGGGGGGAGGACGGCGUUCGGGUUGUGAACGCCAUGCGCCAGGGACGAAGCGGUUUGUGACGGUACCUGGAGAAGAAGCACCGGCUAACUACGUG
RNAcentral lists this ribosomal RNA (463 nucleotides) under uncultured bacterium. Its description in RNAcentral is "partial 16S ribosomal RNA". It matches the Rfam family "Bacterial small subunit ribosomal RNA", at positions 28 to 507 of the family's 1533-position model. The record is from RNAcentral.